RNAcentral lists this ribosomal RNA (572 nucleotides) under Rotylenchus uniformis. Its description in RNAcentral is "LSU rRNA". It matches the Rfam family "Eukaryotic large subunit ribosomal RNA", at positions 234 to 665 of the family's 3401-position model. Lineage: Eukaryota; Metazoa; Nematoda; Chromadorea; Rhabditida; Hoplolaimidae. The record is from RNAcentral.
GGCCGCCAGCCCAUCUUUGCGUGUCUUGGAGUCGGGUUGUUUGGGAUCGCAGCCCAAAGCAGGUGGUAAACUUCAUCUAAGACUGAAUAUGACUACGAGUCCGAUAGCGAACAAGUACCGUGAGGGAAAGUUGCAAAGCACUUUGAAGAGAGAGUUAAAGAGGACGUGAAACCGAUGAGGUGGAAACGGACAGAGCUGGCGUAUCUGGCCUGUAUUCAGCCGUGCGUCCGUUGGCGUCAGGGAUGCCGCUCUCCAGAUUGGGACGGUGGCCUGUCUGCUGGCGGAUGUGUGGUGCAUUUGCAGGUGGAGUGCGCUGAGGCGCUCGGGUCAGCGGCAUGAGCUCAGUGUUGAGGCCAGCCCCUCACGGGGUCUGGUACCCGCAUUGUGGGGAGUGCUGUUUGUCCUGGGUGUGUGGAGGGCAAUGGUUUCGGGUUCGUGUGGGUGCCGAGCUGGCAGUCGGUGGCGGUCGCGUGCGACACGUGCCAGCGGUCAGUUCGGUCCUGCUCGAGCUCUCAUCUGCUCGUCCUCGGUGUAAAAGCCGGUCAUCUGUCCGACCCGUCUUGAAACACGGA